AACAACAUUCUACGUAAUAUAAAAUAAAAUUCCGAGCUGGCGAAAAUAGGGAAAACGAUAAAUUUAAAAAAAUUAAAUCCGAAAACAUUUGUAAACUGGAUGUUCAACAACCAACGGAGUUUGUAAUGUUUUUUUUUUUUUUUUUUUCGUUUUUCGGUCGGUUUUAAAUCGCACGGUGCCGGGCGGUUCCGCGAGUUUAAAAGGAGCGAGAAGUUAAAAGGCCAAUUCGGACAAGACCUCGGUACACCACGGAUUUAUAUCGCUCACCUACUACAACUAUUUGUAUAGACUUUUUCUUCCUUUUCGGUUUCUGUCUAUCGUAUACACAUGCGGUAACACAUAUAUUCUCGUGUGGUAAAUUUAGAGGUACCAACAUAUUCGUUAUAGUGCGUGGGCGGAGCCGAUCAUCUUUGAAACAACGGUGCCGCUGUAUAACUCAUCAGGCAUAAGUCACACGGCCAUUAAAAAUAGGAACGUACCCAUGUACACUUAG
Non-coding RNA from Cinara cedri, 493 nucleotides. NCBI's taxonomy places the organism in Eukaryota, Metazoa, Arthropoda, Insecta, Hemiptera, Aphididae. The record is from the annotation of a GenBank genome assembly.